UGAAACGAGUGGCGCAACUGGGAAAGGAAACUGCAGGCGCCGCGUCUGUGCUCGGGAUUUACUCCGCGCUCGAGUGACCCGGGACACCGCAAGAGAAAGAGCAUUGAGCUGCAUAUCGACAGGACUCCUCUGGAACAAUGGAGACAAGAGUCCGACUGCUGCUGGUCCUGAUGUCCUCAGUUAUGAUGGGACAAUUGUCAACAACCGGAGAAGGAACUGCAUCAUCUACAACCUUCACUACAUCAGCAAUUA
Molecule: long non-coding RNA, 252 nt
Organism: Erpetoichthys calabaricus (reedfish)
Lineage: Eukaryota; Metazoa; Chordata; Cladistia; Polypteriformes; Polypteridae
Exons: 3
Source: RefSeq, a predicted model, not a curated record